GUGGGGAAUUUUGGACAAUGGGCGCAAGCCUGAUCCUGCCAUUCCGCGUGCAGGAUGAAGGCCCUCGGGUUGUAAACUGCUUUUGUACGGAACGAAACGGUCCUGGUUAAUACCCGGGGCUAAUGACGGUACCGUAAGAAUAAGCACCGGCUAACUACGUGCCAGCAGCCGCGGUAAUACGUAGGGUGCGAGCGUUAAUCGGAAUUACUGGGCGUAAAGCGUGCGCAGGCGGUGAUGUAAGACAGGUGUGAAAUCCCCGGGCUUAACCUGGGAACUGCAUUUGUGACUGCAUCGCUGGAGUGCGGCAGAGGGGGAUGGAAUUCCGCGUGUAGCAGUGAAAUGCGUAGAUAUGCGGAGGAACACCGAUGGCGAAGGCAAUCCCCUGGGCCUGCACUGACGCUCAUGCACGAAAGCGUGGGGAGCAGACAGGAUUAGAUACCCUGGUAGUCCACGCCCUAAACGAUGUCAACUGGUUGUUGGGUCUUCACUGACUCAGUAACGAAGCUAACGCGUGAAGUUGACCGCCUGGGGAGUACGGCCGCAAGGU
Molecule: ribosomal RNA, 547 nt
Filed under: uncultured Pseudorhodoferax sp.
Lineage: Bacteria; Pseudomonadati; Pseudomonadota; Betaproteobacteria; Burkholderiales; Comamonadaceae
Description: bacterial SSU rRNA
Rfam family: Bacterial small subunit ribosomal RNA
Source: RNAcentral